CCUACGGGUGGCAACAGUGAGGAAUAUUGGUCAAUGGACGAGAGUCUGAACCAGCCAAGCAGCGUGAAGGAUGACUGCCCUAUGGGUUGUAAACUCCAUUUAUAUGGGAGUAAAAUGUUACACGUGUGGGAUUUUGUACGUACCAUAUGUAUAAGGAUCGGCUAACUCCGUGCCAGCAGCCGCGGUAAUACGGAGGAUUCGAGCGUUAUCCGGAUUGCAUGGGUUUAAAGGGAACGUAGGUGGAUUGUUAAGUCAGUUGUGAAAGUUAGCGGCUCAACCGCGAGAUUGCAGUUGAAACUGGCAGUCUUGAGUACAGUAGAGGUAGGCGGAAUUCGUGGUGUAGCGGUGAAAUGCGUAGAUAUCACGAAGAACUCCGAUUGCGAAGGCAGCUCACUGGACUGCAACUGACGCUGAGGCUCGAAAGUGUGGGUAUCAAACAGGAUUAGAUACCCUUGUAGUC
RNAcentral lists this ribosomal RNA (460 nucleotides) under uncultured bacterium. RNAcentral's name for it is "partial 16S ribosomal RNA". It matches the Rfam family "Bacterial small subunit ribosomal RNA", at positions 338 to 795 of the family's 1533-position model. The record is from RNAcentral.